GUACCUACGGGAGGCAGCAGUAGGGAAUUUUCGUCAAUGGGCGCAAGCCUGAACGAGCGAUGCCGCGUGAGCGAUGAAGGCCUUCGGGUCGUAAAGCUCUGUCCUCAAGGAAGAUAAUGACGGUACUUGAGGAGGAAGCCCCGGCUAACUACGUGCCAGCAGCCGCGGUAAUACGUAGGGGGCUAGCGUUAUCCGGAAUUACUGGGCGUAAAGGGUGCGUAGGUGGUUUCUUAAGUCAGAGGUGAAAGGCUACGGCUCAACCGUAGUAAGCCUUUGAAACUGGGAAACUUGAGUGCAGGAGAGGG
RNAcentral lists this ribosomal RNA (305 nucleotides) under uncultured bacterium. RNAcentral describes it as "bacterial SSU rRNA". It matches the Rfam family "Bacterial small subunit ribosomal RNA", at positions 335 to 658 of the family's 1533-position model. The record is from RNAcentral.